GGGGGCGUAGUCUAGCUAGGUAUGACGCCGGGCUCCAGACCCGUAGGUCGAGGGUUCAAGUCCCUUCGCCCCCACCA
This 77-nucleotide transfer RNA is filed under the name Candidatus Bathyarchaeota archaeon. RNAcentral's name for it is "tRNA-Trp". It matches the Rfam family "tRNA". From Rfam's summary of the family: Transfer RNA (tRNA) molecules are approximately 80 nucleotides in length. Their secondary structure includes four short double-helical elements and three loops (D, anti-codon, and T loops). Further hydrogen bonds mediate the characteristic L-shaped molecular structure. tRNAs have two regions of fundamental functional importance: the anti-codon, which is responsible for specific mRNA codon recognition, and the 3' end, to which the tRNAs corresponding amino acid is attached (by aminoacyl-tRNA synthetases). tRNAs cope with the degeneracy of the genetic code in two manners: having more than one tRNA (with a specific anti-codon) for a particular amino acid; and 'wobble' base-pairing, i.e. permitting non-standard base-pairing at the 3rd anti-codon position. The record is from RNAcentral. Lineage: Archaea; Thermoproteati; Candidatus Bathyarchaeota. RNAcentral also lists the same sequence under 1 other name.